UACGAAGGGGGCUAGCGUUGUUCGGAAUUGCUGGGCGUAAAGCGCACGUAGGCGGAUACUUAAGUCAGGGGUGAAAUCCCGGGGCUCAACCCCGGAACUGCCUUUGAUACUGGGUAUCUUGAGUUCGGGAGAGGUGAGUGGAACUGCGAGUGUAGAGGUGAAAUUCGUAGAUAUUCGCAAGAACACCAGUGGCGAAGGCGGCUCACUGGCCCGAUACUGACGCUGAGGCACGAAAGCGUGGGGAGCAAACAGG
This 253-nucleotide ribosomal RNA is filed under the name uncultured bacterium. RNAcentral's name for it is "partial 16S ribosomal RNA". It matches the Rfam family "Bacterial small subunit ribosomal RNA", at positions 524 to 776 of the family's 1533-position model. The record is from RNAcentral.